UUUGUCAGCGGGACUGAGUGAGAUUUACUUAGGCAGAUAUCGCCACUAAUGUUGCCAGAUCGAAUCAUUGGGUGCAAGAUGUUCCAGAUGGGUUGUUGCAAUGGAUGUUGGUAUGCAGACCAGCAGUGUGGAUAACCAUGGCACGAAGUUUUGCAGACCUUGAUUGAAAUUGGCGCAAAUUGCAAAUCUGGACUAGGGGUUAGCAAAGACCAGCAUAAAGAGGUGGUCAUGGACAAUGAAGUGCCAUUGAGGAUUUGGAGAAAUCUGACAGUUUACAGGCAGCUAUCCAGCUUAAUACUGUCUCGAUGCAAUUAUUACAACAGCAUUUUUUUUGAAGUGGUAUUUCAAAAAUUUGAAUAGUGUUUACCACUAAAGCUCAGUUUUUUCGUAUUAAAUGUUAACAUGUUGAAGAUUGUGUUUACUUUAAUUGUCUAAUAAAUACUCAUUAAACUAAA
Chiloscyllium plagiosum (whitespotted bambooshark) is the source of this 455-nucleotide long non-coding RNA. RefSeq lists it as uncharacterized. NCBI's taxonomy places the organism in Eukaryota, Metazoa, Chordata, Chondrichthyes, Orectolobiformes, Hemiscylliidae. The record is from RefSeq and is a predicted model, not a curated record.